This 535-nucleotide ribosomal RNA is filed under the name Titanidiops maroccanus. Its description in RNAcentral is "partial 16S ribosomal RNA". It matches the Rfam family "Bacterial large subunit ribosomal RNA", at positions 1875 to 2718 of the family's 2925-position model. The record is from RNAcentral. Lineage: Eukaryota; Metazoa; Arthropoda; Arachnida; Araneae; Idiopidae.
UUCUAAUAGAAAAUAAUUAUUAGUAAAACUCUGCACAAUGAACAUUAAAUCGCCGCAAUUUAUGUGCAAAGGUAGCAUAAUCACUUGCCUCCUAAUUAAAGGCUAGAAUGAAAGGUUUAACAAUUUAAAUUCUGUAAUCUCCAGAAUCUUUUAAAUUUUGAUAUAAAUAAAAACACUUAUUUAUUUAGGGGGACGACAAGACCCUACUGAACUUUACAUUUAUGUUUUUCUGGGGUGGAAAUAAAACUAAAUCUUUUUUUCCUCUUUUUAAAAAAACAAAAAUCUUUAAUUAUAAUUAAGUUACCAUAGGGAUAACAGCACAAUUUUUUCUUAAAGACCGUAUCUAAGAAAAAGUUUAUGACCUCGAUGUUGAAUUAUUUUCUCUUUUUAGAAGCAAAAAUCUAAAAAGAAAGUCUGUUCGACUUUUAAAUAUUUACAUGAUUUGAGUUCAGACCGGCGUAAGCCAGGUCGGAUUCUAUCUCCUCAUAUUCUUUUUAGUACGAAAGGACCAAAAGAAUAUUAAUUUAAUUUUUUU